This is a long non-coding RNA of Drosophila innubila, 351 nucleotides long. RefSeq lists it as uncharacterized. Lineage: Eukaryota; Metazoa; Arthropoda; Insecta; Diptera; Drosophilidae. The transcript has 3 exons. The record is from RefSeq and is a predicted model, not a curated record.
CAUAUACUUGUAAUUUUUCUAUCGCAAAAAAGAAGAAGCUGCCGUCGAGUGCGCACGUGUUUGCAAAGUGAUUUUGAAAUAUGAAAACUUGGAAAAAUAUUAUUUUUACAUUGUGAGCCGUCAAAUAUAUGACUUAUGUAUGUAUUAAUACGUAAAAAUGCGUUGUUCGACUUUAUAUUGAAAUUGUGGAUGCACACGCAAAACCAAGCCGACGCCUUUGGAAUAGAAAAAACCGAACCAAGACGAGACAACGCACUGGGGGGAAUAUAUACUAUUUAUAGAUUUAAAUAUAAAUAUUUUCAUUAUGUUAUUAUUUAUAUAUCACAUUUGUCUAAGCAAAUAUAUAUGAAU